RNAcentral lists this ribosomal RNA (275 nucleotides) under uncultured prokaryote. RNAcentral's name for it is "partial 16S ribosomal RNA". It matches the Rfam family "Bacterial small subunit ribosomal RNA", at positions 524 to 798 of the family's 1533-position model. The record is from RNAcentral.
UACGGAGGAUGCGAGCGUUAUCCGGAUUUAUUGGGUUUAAAGGGUGCGCAGGCGGGAAAUUAAGUCGGCGGUGAAAUUUUGCAGCUCAACUGUAAAAGUGCCUUCGAAACUGGUUUCCUUGAGUGUAGAUGAAGUAGGCGGAAUUUGUGGUGUAGCGGUGAAAUGCAUAGAUAUCACGAGGAACUCCGAUUGCGCAGGCAGCUUACUAAACUACUACUGACGCUCAGGCACGAAGGCGUGGGGAUCAAACAGGAUUAGAUACCCGGGUAGUCCCU